UUUUUUUGCUUCUUAGUGGAAGUUCCCAGGCUAGGGUUCAAAUCAGAGCUACAGCUGCCAGCCCGCAUCACAGCCACAGCAACUCGGGAUCAAGCUGUGUCUGUGACCUACACCACAGCUCACAGCAACACAGGAUCCUUAACCCACUGAAGGAGGCUAGGGACAAACCCAAACUAAUGGAUAUUAGUUGGGUUCGCUACUGCUGAGCCACAAAGGGAACUCCUAACUCUUCUCUUUAAUAAAUGUUUUUAUCAUUUUUCAUAUUUUUCCCAUUAUCGUUUAUUAUAGGAUAUUGAAUGUACUUCCCUGUGAUAUACAAUAGGACCUUGUUUAUCUAUUCUAUAUAUAAUAGUUUGCAUCUGCUAAUUCCAAACUCCCAGUUCAUCCCUCCCCCACCCCUUUUCCCCUUGGCAACCACAAGUCCGUUCUCUAUGUCUUUUGAGUCUGUUUCUGUUUCGCAGAUAAAUUCAUUGCGUCAUAUUUUAGAUUCCACAUACAAGUGAUAUAUGGUAUUUGUUUCUCUCUUUCUGACUUACUUCACUUGUUUAAUACACAGCUUUACUAUAAGCCUCAGCCCCCAUUAAGAAAUAUGCAGACUAGGAGUUCCCAUCACGGCACAGCAGAAGCAAAUCUGACUAGGAACCAUGAGGUUGUGGGUUCGGUCCCUGGCUUUGCUCAGCAGGUUAAGGAUCUGGCAUUGCUGUGAGCUGUGUGUAGGUAGCAGAUGAGGCUCAAAUCUGGCAUUGCUGUGGCUGUGGUGUAGGCCGACAGCUGCAGCUCUGAUUUUGAGCCAUAGCCUGGGAACUUCCAUAUACCUCAGGUGUGGCCCUAAAAAGAUUAAAAAAAAAAAAAAAAAAGUUUAAAAAUCCUCAAAAGGAUAGGUUGCAUGGACCCAAUGAGGAACAAAGAGGGAGAAUAAAUUGAACGUGAGCCACAAUCAGUAAAAUGAGGUCAUUAAAUCCCCAAGAGAUGAGAUCAGGUUAGUUACACUUACAAAAAUCACCUUCUAUCCUAAAGAACAAGUACCUUUAAGAAAAAUAACUGACAUGGGCAGAUGUUAUUUAAAACUUUACAGAAAUUGAGCACUUAGGUUUUUACAAAACAUCGAUUCAGAGGUAUUGAUUUUUUAAAACAGGCAACACAUAACCAAAGCAUCCUGUCCAUUUGGCAUCUAUCUUAACCUGCCUGGAGAAAAAAAAAAAAAACAAACAAACAACAACCAAAAAAAACACUAACUGAGGGUUUCAGGAAUGACUCAUACAUCAAGGUGACUUUUUAAAGUUUAUCUGAAGGCGGCCAGACAAUAAUGAUUAUGUGAGCCAUCCGUCCCCACGUCCCAACGUUCUACUCUAGAUUCAGAUGACACAGGCCCUAGCAUCAACCUCAGACUUGCACAGCUAAGGAUGCCCAGAAUGCAGGUUUCCACCUAAGUAAUCCCAUGCAGACUAGAAGUUUAACUUGAAGGUACCAAACAGUGUUGACAGGAAAAAGUAGAAAUAUAAAAAUCACUAUCCAGAAGUUCUCACUGUAACUGACUAGUAUCCACGAGGAUGCAGGUUCGAUCCCUGGCCUCACUCACAGGUUAAGGAUCCAGUGCUGCUGCAAGCUGUGGCAUAGGUUGCAGAUGCAGCUUGGAUCUGGCAUUGCUGUGGCUGUGGUUAGGCCUGAAGCUGCAGCUCAAAUUUGACCCCCUAGCCUGGGAACUGCCAUAUUGCACAGGUGAGGCCCUAAAAAGAAAAAAAAAAGAAAAAUUACUAUCCAAAACAAAUCUUUUAUCAGGUCAGUGUUUAUGAAAUAUUGGUAGCAUUUGAUAAGAGAGAUGAGUUGUACAGUACCAUCACAGAGACAUCCAACCCUGAACUGUCUCAUUUACCUCCUUCACAUCCAGCUAGGAUUAAAAAGAAAUCUUUUCGAUGACACAUCAUAU
This 1927-nucleotide long non-coding RNA is filed under the name Sus scrofa (pig). Its description in RNAcentral is "lncRNA (ENSSSCG00005033504.1)". The record is from RNAcentral. Lineage: Eukaryota; Metazoa; Chordata; Mammalia; Artiodactyla; Suidae.